This 300-nucleotide ribosomal RNA is filed under the name uncultured Gammaproteobacteria bacterium. RNAcentral describes it as "bacterial SSU rRNA". It matches the Rfam family "Bacterial small subunit ribosomal RNA", at positions 1038 to 1338 of the family's 1533-position model. The record is from RNAcentral. Lineage: Bacteria; Pseudomonadati; Pseudomonadota; Gammaproteobacteria.
GUGCUGCAUGGCUGUCGUCAGCUCGUGUUGUGAAAUGUUGGGUUAAGUCCCGCAACGAGCGCAACCCUUAUCCUUUGUUGCCAGCGGUUCGGCCGGGAACUCAAAGGAGACUGCCAGUGAUAAACUGGAGGAAGGUGGGGAUGACGUCAAGUCAUCAUGGCCCUUACGACCAGGGCUACACACGUGCUACAAUGGCGCAUACAAAGAGAAGCAACCUCGCGAGAGCAAGCGGACCUCAUAAAGUGCGUCGUAGUCCGGAUUGGAGUCUGCAACUCGACUCCAUGAAGUCGGAAUCGCUAG